This 325-nucleotide ribosomal RNA is filed under the name Cunninghamella elegans. RNAcentral describes it as "LSU rRNA". The record is from RNAcentral. Lineage: Eukaryota; Fungi; Mucoromycota; Mucoromycetes; Mucorales; Cunninghamellaceae.
AACCGUAUGAAAUCAGACCUACUGGUAGGUAAUCAAUCUUUCCCUUGGGAAGGAUGCACUUGCCUGCUAUGUAUGCCAGCGACAUUUUGGUUGGGAGGAAAAAAAUAGAGGGAAUGUAGCCUAGGCUUCGGUUUAGGUGUUAUAGACUUUUAUAAAAUACUCUCGGCUGGAAUGAGGAACGCAGCAAACCGUAAGGCGAAGAUUCUAGUCGCUUGGGGGGAAUAAUUAGAGAAUUUCUGCUUCGGGUGGUGCUUUGAUUAUUACUUUCAACUCGGUUGGAGUUCUUUUAAUUUGCUUAGGUUGUUGGCUUAAUGAUUUUAUAUGA